This 233-nucleotide long non-coding RNA is filed under the name Rattus norvegicus (Norway rat). RNAcentral describes it as "long non-coding RNA NONRATT006058". The record is from RNAcentral. Lineage: Eukaryota; Metazoa; Chordata; Mammalia; Rodentia; Muridae.
AGGAGUCCAGCUGCUGGUGGUGCUGAUACUGCAGUGGUAGAAAUUGUGAGCAAGAUAAAGCCGGAAGUGACGUCUUCAAAAGAACGAGCGGAGAGAGAUAUAUCCAUGGUGGUGUCAGGCUUGACCCCUAAAGAAGUAGUGAGUGUGCCAUCUGUGUCUCUAACUGGGGCUCGACCUGGGCUUCAGAUAUUACUAUAAGCACUGGCAGUGGCUAACCUGCAGGAAUUAAGUUA